RNAcentral lists this long non-coding RNA (912 nucleotides) under Gallus gallus (chicken). The record is from RNAcentral. Lineage: Eukaryota; Metazoa; Chordata; Aves; Galliformes; Phasianidae.
UGGGAAGCAAACAGGGCGAUGCUCUGAGGUGGCUGUUACCAGAGGAAAACAGUAAGAACGUUGGGUAAUAGCUGCAUCUUGUUUGGAUUAGAGCUAUGUUCCCUUUUGAAUCCUGAGGUUAAAACUGGAGGUAUUGAAGACCUCAGGCUGCCAUUUAUACAUGGACAGGAGCUCUUUGGUUAACUCCUUCCCUCUGACUUUUUAAGGUUUUAUCAUAUUUUAAAAGAAACUCCAUUGAAAUGUUUUAGUUGUGAAUUGUUGAGCUAAAUUAAUUCUUAACUAAAACCAGAAUUUCCCUUUUUAAUUUUAACUGGAACAAAAUCCUUACUCUCCUGUUGCAAUUGCUCUGGAUAAUUAUGUGAAGUCAUGGCAGUAUGAGUGGAUACCCAGACAGUUACUUCCCAGAGGGAGGUGGUUGUGUUUUAAGCAAAGCCUAUUGUAACUUCAGAGUCCAGGUGGGGCACACAGUGUUGGGUGAGUUCACAUUUGGAUGGGAUUUAUAUCUCCGUUUACUGUCUACCGAAGUCACCGUUUCACAGGGGCGUGGUUCCUCACUUCUUGCUGUUGAUAGAUCUGUGCUGUUUUGCUUUAUUAACUCACAAAUUCACUGUUGAGCAUUUUCAGUUGAAUUUAUUUUGUGAAAUAAUUCAAGUAGCGUGUUGACUAGAUGUACUGGUUUGGUUGUGAGGUGGGAUGUGGUUGACCUCUGUCUUAUUUGGCUGUGAACAAUCUCCAUGGGAGCAUUCAUGCUCUUUGUAAGCACUUGGCGUGCUGAUACCAACUCACAGUUAAGUUUUGUUGUUGCUCCUUUUUUUUUUUUUCAUUUCAAUUUUAGACCAUGAGAAUUUGCACCAAGGCUCCCCUGGUUUGAGUGGAGCUGCCUGGAUCAAACGCUGCCUGCUCUGCCCUGGC